RNAcentral lists this long non-coding RNA (1214 nucleotides) under Nicotiana benthamiana. RNAcentral describes it as "long non-coding RNA (NBEN_LNC040393)". The stretch from base 46 to 115 matches the Rfam family "MIR6151 microRNA precursor family". Lineage: Eukaryota; Viridiplantae; Streptophyta; Magnoliopsida; Solanales; Solanaceae. The record is from RNAcentral.
UAUAUAUAUAUAUAUAUAUCUCAUGAUCGGAAGGUUCUGGGAACGAUUUGCUGGAUGAGUGUGAGGCGUUGGAUUGAUUCACUCAAUCCGAGCCCCACAUUCAUCAAGGGUUCAUUUUCAAAAAGGAACCUCAGCUGAUUUUAAGGGGGGAUUCUGGUGAAAAAAACUGGAGAGAGAAAUUUCGGGGUCGGAAAUUUUGAAAGAAAAAUUUGAUAAAUCAUUUAGUUUUCAUUGAGUUUUUUGGCGUUUACAGUUUCGAUUCUGGAAAAAAGGUUUAGAAAUUUCAGUUUCUUUUGUUUGGUUCUAAGUCCUGUUUCAAAAAUCUAAAAAAAGAAUUUUCAUUAUCUUUCUUUGAUUCCUUUCAAAAAUGGAGAUGGACUAAGUUGAGAUCGAGUUGACUGUUCGUGCUCAAGUUUGUAGUUCUUGCAUUCUAACGCAUUGUAAUUGCUGUUAUUUUGAGUUUUCAUUAUCAAGUUCACUUGUAUUGGGUUCGAGACAGAAUUAAUCUAAGUUUUUCUUUGCAACUCCGGUUCAUUUGUUAUCCUCUUCUUUAUCGCUCUUGGUUCUAUGUUUGUUUGUGUGCGUAUUCCAUUAUGGUGUAGUUUGAAUCUGGAAACUCAAUGUCUGUUUCUUUUAGUCGAGUUUUAAACUCGUUUGGCCGUGGUUCAGGUCCAGUUAUGCUACUUUUUGAGUUGAAAACACUCCAAAAUCAUAAUAGAGCUGGAAUUUCUUAGUUUGUAUCUCAUUGUUACAGUCAUUUAGGCUUUUGUUGGAUUGAAUCUGCCAGUUAGCAGGUUCAUGUUGCUAUGGUUCUAUUCUCUACUUUUUGAAUCCAAUCCAUGAAUUUAUGGGACAACUGUUGGCUAUUUUUCUUGUGUUAAAAAACCGAGAAUGAAUGUAAAUAUUAGCCAUCCAACGUCACGUCCAUGUGUUUGCUAUUUUCUGCUGGUUUGAAGUUGCUGAGUGUACCCUUGUUAAUAUUUGUUCUUUGUUGCUCAUCAUGUUUGAGAGGAUUAAGUGAGAGUUCAUGUUUCCGGCAUGUAAAAUUCUAUCAUUUAUCUUCUUAGGCCGAUUUUAAUUUAAAACCUGGGUAGUUCGUGUGUUUGUUUACUUCAAAGUCAAUUUGCAAUUGCUAAUCGAGCUGAUACCUGCAGUAGUUUGGAAAUUGUUUGAACUACUAGGCAUGCUGAAAACGUAUCCUAUUUUUGCACUGG